UCUUGCCUUGUCAUGGGAUGAGAAAGCUGCUCAGUGAACGUCUCGUGAGAGUAGCUCUGCUGACACCAUAACAACACAUACGCACCACCUGGACUCCUGUGCAGAUUACGGUGCAAUUUUUGGAAAC
Scatophagus argus is the source of this 127-nucleotide small nuclear RNA. RefSeq annotates it as U4atac minor spliceosomal RNA. The record is from RefSeq and is a predicted model, not a curated record. NCBI's taxonomy places the organism in Eukaryota, Metazoa, Chordata, Actinopteri, Scatophagidae. The transcript has a single exon.